AGGUUGCGCUGGGGCCGAAGGAAGAGGAGGAGGAGGAGGAGGAAGAGGAGGAGAUCGGAGGAGGAAUGAGCCAAGAACAGUCGUGAGAAAGAGAUCAAGAACGCAAGAACCGAGAAAGAGAGAGUUGGAUCCAAAGAGACAAAGAACUGAAACUCAAAACAUACUCACACACAGCCACCCACCACCACCACCAUUACUAACGCACCCACACCACCUUAUAAACCAAACGUGAGCCACAAGGAAGCAAUUUAAACCAUGGAAUCAGAGCAAACCACCAUGGAAACUUGCCACCACGAAUCUAAAGUGACCGAAGUGAUGUGUCGAAGUGUUACAAGUGGAAGCUGCAUGGGGGACGUUGUGAAGUAAGGGUGUUUAUAAGUGUUUUGUAAGUGGUGAAGUGGUGUGGUGUGUUUCAUGGGACUUUGAUUCGUGUUUUUUGUGUUUCUGUGUGUGUGGAAGGUUGGUGUUUUUAAAGUGGGUGUUAAGUGUGGUGGGAAUGACUUAAGUGGCCGUGGAAGGAUUAACAAAGAGAAAGUGUAAUAAGCGGAAGGAAAGUGAAGGAAGGGUCAAAGAAGAAUAAGUGAAAGGAAAUUAAAAACAAAACAAAACAAAAGAAAGUGGAAAAGUGACGAAGAGAGGAAGAUAAAUAUAAACAAAAAAAUACUAAAGGAAAAAAAAUGAUAGAGUGAAGUGGAAUAGGAAAAAAAAACCGAAGAAACAGGAGAAAGUUAAGCAAAAAACAUGAAACAGUAAAGUAAGAAAAAAAAAAUAAGAAGACGGGAAGAAAAUGGAGUACUGAAACAUAUCUAUCAUGAAAACAAACAUAGAAAACAUGACAUCCUAAACCAGCUAAUAAAGAAAACGGGAAAAAAACACACUUGACGAAACAGAAAACGAAGAAAACGGGAUCAUGAGAAACAGAGAACGGGAAACGGAAGUGCCGAACCGUAACACAUAUCAAAGAGGAACGAAACGGCGAUAAAAAAGGAAAACAGGAAACGAAACUGAAACCGGAUGAGCGUGUGAAGCUGAAACCAAGUGCCCAACGAAACCAUAUCAAUUAGUGCGGUAGCGAAACUAAGGUGAAACACAGGUAGACAAAUGAGCUAAUAGAAGAAAUAGAAAUAGAGGAAAUAGAAGCUAAUUAGAAGAUGAUUUAGAAGUAGUGAAAUAUAAUAUAGUACAAAAAUAAUACACGAAACGCUAAAAUUAACAAAACGGAUAUUUAGGAGACGAGAGAAAAGGGGAAAGAAGACGAUUUUGAGAAGAGAGAAUUAACGAAGAUAAAUAAUAAGAAAAAUAAACUAGAAAAUAACGAAUAACGAAGGAAAGAGAGAGAGAGAGAGGGAGACAAGUGAAGGAGUGUGCGUGGAAGGAAGAAGGAAAUGACCAGUGAAGGAAGGAAGGAAAGGAAGGAAAACUUGAAGGAAAAAUAAGGAAAAGAAACGAGAGAAAAUUAACGCGAAAAAAGUGGAGAAGUGAAGAGAAGUGAAAAAAAACGAAGAGAAAAGAGAGAAAAGGGGGGAGAAAACAAACAGACAAACAAACGAACUCACAUAUCACACACGCACACGCACCCAUGUAUGUAUGUAUGUACGUGUGUGUGUAUUCCCCUUUUGGUCUAGUUUUGCCAAAAGACUGAAAGAAUAAAACACAGAGAGAGAGAGAGAGAGAGAGAGAGAGAGAGAGAGAGAGAGAGAGAGAGAGAGAGCGUGACCAACCCCCAUUUCCAACUCAAGUUUCUGUACCUGCGUCCGUGUCCUCCCUAAACACACUCACGCACGCACACACGCAAACCUCAACAACCCCGCGACACGCACACACAAACACACGCACACUCACAAGCACAUUCCCCUAAGAUAACAAACGAGAACAUUUUAUUUUAUUUUCUUAACAAAUUACCCGGAGAAAACAAAAUAUAGUUAAACAUAUGUAAAGAAGAAAAUUUAGACCCCCGAAACAAAGGAAUAUAUUAGUUAGUGUCACAAAAAGGGGAAAUAUUAGCUGAAAGAAAUAUUUACACCCCACAAAAUGAUAUAAUAUUCGCCCCUUCAGAAAGAUAUUACCACAUUCCCGCCUUGGACGAAACAGCUAUGCCUUGAAAAUAUCAGUACACUCCCCUAGAAUUUAAUAACUAUCUACAGGACAGUAAAACAAAAUAUAUUUCCCGACGGAUAACAUUACCGCCUCCCCUCCCGGUAAAACGACAGUGCAAGACGAUAUUAGCCCCCAAGUGAAAAUAGAAAAUGGUGUUUCCACUUAUAGAAAAUUAUAUUCACCUCUCCCAGUAAAAAAUAGUAAUUAGAUACCCAUGCAGAAAAUAAUAUUACUGCCUCCCCCAGAAAGAAAAUAAUAUAUACCCCAACAAAUUAAAUUACAUAUUCCCCGUAACUUCCCUCAAAUAUUUACCCCCUAAUUAAAAAAAGUCCUCAUAUAUGAUAAAUUUUCCUCUCCUUAAUAAAACUAAGAAUCAGUAUUAAAACUCUCCUCCCCCAAAAAAUAACAUUAACCACCCCAAAAUAAUAUAACCCCCCCCAAAAAAUUAAAAACGAAUGUCAUAUCAAAUUUUCCAAGUUCUAGAUGUUUUGGUUCCAGUUCCCUAAAGUUACAAGUUAAACCCAGUGUGCUAAAUAGUUACCCACCACACUCCCAGGUAAGGUUAAUUAACGUUUCUAGGUUUACAUAGACGCCCUGUGGACCCGAGUUACUCCAAUAAUCAAAGUUAAUUCCAUAGAAGAUUUAUAUUGUUAUUUCUUUCUAAGUGUGCGUAGAAAGUAAUUUAAUUCUCCUCGUUCAUUUCUGAGUGUCAGUAGAAGUAACAGAAUUCUCCCAGAGUUCAAGAGUCAAUGGUUUCCUAGGUGUUUCUUUCUCAGUGUCUGUAGAAAGUAUCUUAGUUAUCACAAAAAUCAAGAGUAAAUGAUUUCCUAGUUGUGUCCUCCGUGUCAUAACAAAAUAUAACUAAUCAAAAACAAAAUGAAGUGAUUUCCUAAGUAUGCUUAUCUAAAUGUUAAUACAAGUUAAUUUUUCCACAAAGCAAUAUCAGAUGUUUUCCAAGAUUAUAGCGCCCACUUAACUCGUCCCAAAGAAAGCGAGACAAAUGAUUUCCUAGUUGAUAACAGCCACCAGAGUCUCUUUUGUUGUACGAGACCCAGAUAGUUGUUUCCAUUCGUUCACAAAGAAACCCAGAUUGAUGUCCAGUAUUUUGUAUUUAUAUAUAAUAUGUAUUCAAGUUUAACUCAUUUAUAACUCACCAGCACAUUAAUUUAUAAGUCGCCGUAACCAAAGAUUAGUCUAACCCACAUAUCAAAGUCCCUGAGCCGAGAACAUCCCUAGAAGCUACAGAUAAGCUCCUCAGACCCACGAUAUUAGGACUCUCCUCUCUCACACACACCUACCGGUCUUUCGAACACACUAACACGCCCACGCAACUCCUAGGAUUACACGCACGCAAAAAAUACUUAAGACAAAAAAAAUUACGCUAACCCAACCACCACCACAACCUCUGAAGACACGAUUCUGAACACGGAAAUACCCAAUACACUUCCCUGGAAAAUAUGACAUAACGAAACAAAGAAGAAAUUUACUUGAUUGUGACACGUUCUGGAAAAUACUCAAAUUGGAAACGUGCCCAAACCAAGAGAGAAAAAAGAGAAGAGAAGGAAAGAAGAAUAGUGAAGAAAUAAGAGAAAAUACAUAUUGGAGUAAAACAAAGAGAAGAAAAAAGUGAAAAAAAUGAAAAGUAUGAAGAAAGUAGAAAUUGAAAAGUGAAAAUAUAAAAAAGGAAAAGGGAAGGAAAAAAAAGUGAAAAUUUAUACAACCACUUCUCAAACUGCACCAAACACACCACGAUUCGAACCACUCCGCAAUUAGAACCACUUCAAACCAUACCAAAACUUAACCACAAAACCCACAACUCCACAAUCACUCCACAAGUUAAACCAGCCCACCAAUCAAACCCUUCCACAAACUGAACCACUCCACAACCAAACCAGACCAACUUACACAUCCCAAAAGACAUCCCAUCACCCCAAGGAUCACCCCACCAAAGAACCACAUACCCCACAUAUCCCAACCCCAACGGCCCAUCCCCCCAAUACAGAACUCAGCACCGAUUAUGAAGGGGGUCUAACGCCUCUCAGUGCUGGCCUCGGGAAGUGCUGAGUGCUGAGUGCUGAGACGAUGGAGGGUCAGAUGGUGAAGGAGGUGGCGGUGGCGAGGCGAAGAAGAGGAGGCGUCACUAUCUUUCACCACCUUUCUUCGUCUGUGGUGGUGAUGGUGAUGGUGGUGGUGGUGAUGGUGGUGAUGUCCCUACCGCAUAUGGCGUCUGCGCUGUGGCUUGGCGGGUGUGACGGCGCCCUGGGUAUGGAGUCUGGCAUGAUCCCGGACAACGCCAUCACCGCCUCCUCCUCUCAUGACCACAUCGUCGGCCCACAUAACGCGAGGUGACGUACUCUGAGCCUGUUUUGUAUUG
This is a long non-coding RNA of Eriocheir sinensis (Chinese mitten crab), 4471 nucleotides long. RefSeq lists it as uncharacterized. NCBI's taxonomy places the organism in Eukaryota, Metazoa, Arthropoda, Malacostraca, Decapoda, Varunidae. The transcript has 3 exons. The record is from RefSeq and is a predicted model, not a curated record.